RNAcentral lists this ribosomal RNA (253 nucleotides) under uncultured bacterium. RNAcentral's name for it is "partial 16S ribosomal RNA". It matches the Rfam family "Bacterial small subunit ribosomal RNA", at positions 524 to 776 of the family's 1533-position model. The record is from RNAcentral.
UACGAAGGGUGCAAGCGUUAAUCGGAAUUACUGGGCGUAAAGCGUGCGUAGGCGGUUUGUUAAGUCUGCUGUGAAAUCCCCGGGCUCAACCUGGGAAUGGCAGUGGAUACUGGCAAGCUAGAGUGUGAUAGAGGAUGGUGGAAUUCCCGGUGUAGCGGUGAAAUGCGUAGAGAUCGGGAGGAACAUCAGUGGCGAAGGCGGCCAUCUGGAUCAACACUGACGCUGAGGCACGAAAGCGUGGGGAGCAAACAGG